Molecule: ribosomal RNA, 440 nt
Filed under: uncultured bacterium
Lineage: Bacteria
Description: partial 16S ribosomal RNA
Rfam family: Bacterial small subunit ribosomal RNA
Source: RNAcentral
CCUACGGGAGGCAUCAGUGGGGAAUAUUGCGCAAUGGGGGAAACCCUGAUGCAGCGACGCCGCGUGAGUGAUGAAGUAUUUCGGUAUGUAAAGCUCUAUCAGCAGGGAAGAAAAUGACGUUACCUGACUAAGAAUCCCCUGCUAACCACGUGCCAGCAGCCGCGGUAAUACGUAGGGGGAAAUCGUUAACCGGAUUUACUGGGGGUAAAGGGAGCGGAGACGGCUUAUCAAGUCAGAAGUGAAAACCCAGGGCUCAACUUUGGGACUGCUUUUGAAACUGACUAGCUAGAGUGCAGGAGAGGUUAGCGGAAUUCCAGGUGUAGCAGUGAAAUGCGUAGAUAUUUGGAGGAACACCAGUGGCGAAGGCGGCUUACUGGCCUGUAACUGACGUUGAGGAGCGAAAGCGUGGGGAGCAAACAGGAUUAGAUACCCCGGUAGUC